RNAcentral lists this ribosomal RNA (253 nucleotides) under uncultured bacterium. RNAcentral describes it as "partial 16S ribosomal RNA". It matches the Rfam family "Bacterial small subunit ribosomal RNA", at positions 524 to 776 of the family's 1533-position model. The record is from RNAcentral.
UACGGAGGAGGCAAGCGUUAUCCGGAAUUAUUGGGCGUAAAGCGUCCGCAGGUGGCACUUCAAGUCUGUCGUCAAAGACUGGGGCUUAACCCCGGAAAGGCAGUGGAAACUGAAGCGCUAGAGUGCGGUAGGGGUAGAGGGAAUUCCCGGUGUAGCGGUGAAAUGCGUAGAGAUCGGGAAGAACACCCGUGGCGAAGGCGGUUCUCUGGGACGGUACUGACGCUGAGACGCGAAAGCGUGGGGAGCGAACAGG